This 433-nucleotide ribosomal RNA is filed under the name uncultured bacterium. RNAcentral describes it as "partial 16S ribosomal RNA". It matches the Rfam family "Bacterial small subunit ribosomal RNA", at positions 29 to 507 of the family's 1533-position model. The record is from RNAcentral.
AACGAACGCUGGCGGCAUGCCUAACACAUGCAAGUCGAACGAGACCUUCGGGUCUAGUGGCGCACGGGUGCGUAACGCGUGGGAACCUGCCCUUAGGUUCGGAAUAACUCCCCGAAAGGGGUGCUAAUACCGGAUAAUGUCUUCGGACUAAAGAUUUAUCGCCUUUGGAUGGGCCCGCGUUGGAUUAGCUAGUUGGUAGGGUAAAAGCCUACCAAGGCGACGAUCCAUAGCUGGUCUGAGAGGAUGAUCAGCCACACUGGGACUGAGACACGGCCCAGACUCCUACGGGAGGCAGCAGUGGGGAAUAUUGGACAAUGGGCGAAAGCCUGAUCCAGCAAUGCCGCGUGAGUGAUGAAGGCCUUAGGGUUGUAAAGCUCUUUUACCCGGGAUGAUAAUGACAGUACCGGGAGAAUAGGCUCCGGCUAACUCCGUG